UUACGGUCAAAUCACGCUGAAAACACCGGUUCUCGUUCGAUCACCGAAGUUAAGCAUCGUAGAGCCAGGUCGAGUACUUAGAUGGGGGACCGCUUGGGAACACCUGGUACUGUAAG
This 116-nucleotide ribosomal RNA is filed under the name Acanthosepion pharaonis. Lineage: Eukaryota; Metazoa; Mollusca; Cephalopoda; Sepiida; Sepiidae. The record is from RNAcentral.